Molecule: ribosomal RNA, 123 nt
Organism: Pteropus vampyrus (large flying fox)
Lineage: Eukaryota; Metazoa; Chordata; Mammalia; Chiroptera; Pteropodidae
Source: Ensembl
UUCUACAGCCAGGCCACCCUGAACAAGCCCAAUCCCGUCUGACCUCGGAAGCUAAGCAAGGUCGCGCCCAGUUAGUACUUGGAUGGAUGGGAGACCACCUAGGAAGACCAGGUGAUGUAGGUA